Molecule: ribosomal RNA, 500 nt
Filed under: uncultured bacterium
Lineage: Bacteria
Description: partial 16S ribosomal RNA
Rfam family: Bacterial small subunit ribosomal RNA
Source: RNAcentral
AUUGAACGCUGGCGGAAUGCUUUACACAUGCAAGUCGAACGGCAGCACGGACUUCGGUCUGGUGGCGAGUGGCGAACGGGUGAGUAAUGUAUCGGAACGUGCACAGUCGUGGGGGAUAACGUAGUGAAAAUUACGCUAAUAACGCAUACGAUCUAUGGAUGAAAGCGGGGGAUCGCAAGACCUCGCGCGAUUGGAGCGGCCGAUAUCAGAUUAGGUAGUUGGUGGGGUAAAGGCCCACCAAGCCAACGAUCUGUAGCUGGUCUGAGAGGACGACCAGCCACACUGGAACUGAGACACGGUCCAGACUCCUACGGGAGGCAGCAGUGGGGAAUUUUGGACAAUGAGCGAAAGCCUGAUCCAGCCAUUCCGCGUGCAGGAUGAAGGCCCUCGGGUUGUAAACUGCUUUUGUACAGAACGAAAAGGUUUCUACUAAUACUAGGAGCUCAUGACGGUACUGUAAGAAUAAGCACCGGCUAACUACGCGCCAGCCGCCGCAGUAA